UGGCCAUUGAAACACAGGAACACAAAAGAGAGCGUGAGACAGGGGGAAAAAAAUCACAUUCAGAUUUGAGAGAAACCGUGCAAAUAUUCUACUCACCAUUUUGCCUCAUUUUCUCAGGCAACAGCUAACACACAACAGUGUGUGUGGGUGCGAGUGCCUAUGUGUGUGUCACUGCUCAUGGACAGGUCUGUUGUGCUGAGGUGACAGACAGAAUGUGAUGGAAAAAGAGAUGGAGAUAGAAAUCAAAGAAAAUAUCUGGCACAUAGAUUUACAACCCAG
Molecule: long non-coding RNA, 279 nt
Organism: Hemibagrus wyckioides
Lineage: Eukaryota; Metazoa; Chordata; Actinopteri; Siluriformes; Bagridae
Exons: 3
Source: RefSeq, a predicted model, not a curated record